Molecule: non-coding RNA, 113 nt
Filed under: Sphingomonas sp.
Lineage: Bacteria; Pseudomonadati; Pseudomonadota; Alphaproteobacteria; Sphingomonadales; Sphingomonadaceae
Also listed under: 1 other name
Description: Glycine sequence
Rfam family: Glycine riboswitch aptamer
About the family: This family represents the bacterial glycine riboswitch.
Source: RNAcentral
CUUCGACACUCUGGAAAGCGUGGCUUCCUGUGGCGGCCACCACCGAAGGGGUAAGCGGAUCUGCACAAGCGCAGUCCGCGAAAGCUCUCAGGUACCGUGACAGAGGGGGUGCC